Molecule: long non-coding RNA, 1822 nt
Organism: Anopheles arabiensis
Lineage: Eukaryota; Metazoa; Arthropoda; Insecta; Diptera; Culicidae
Exons: 14
Source: RefSeq, a predicted model, not a curated record
UCUAUGAACUGUCGCAUGCGACAGCACGAGCACGACACAUGCAACAACAUGUUGGAAAACGUCAAAUGCCUCGUGCACGUGCGAGCGGGCCAUUUCCCGAAAGGAGCAUUCGGUGCUUGAUUUACACGAAGGCAUCUGCAGCGCCCGCAAACGUGCAGAACACGGGCGAGCUGUCAAACUGCAGGCAACAGUCGCGCUCUGUCAUUAGCCCGGUUUCGUACCCACAUGUUUUUGAUUUCUAAAUAAAGUAAUGGCAAUGCUCGGCCAGCAUCACGAUAAGAUCGAAAUUUUGGAACAAAGUGGCUUUUUGCGAAACAAAAGACCAUAAACCGAUGCCGCAGUGGGUAAGAGAUAAUUGCUUCAUCGUAAUUAGCGUAUGAUCGAUGAGCUAAUGCGCAACAUAAAGCACAGUGCAGAUGGCAAAUAACAAGCAAGUAAAAGAUUGCAUGCUGUGCCGCGACGAAAUGGUUGAAUCCACUGAUAAAGCGAUCUUAGUACAAGAGGCCACGCAAUAUUUUCCUGGUAAACCGGAUCGAGCUCUAUUUGAUUCAGGAUGAUAAUGAUGUCUCAUAACAUAAUGAAUGAAGAACUGGCAAUCUGAUUUCUGAUGUCUUACGAGCUUCAAGAAAUGCAUAAACGCAUUUUCAUCGAAGGAUUGACAAAUUGAUUCCUGAUGUCGUCUUACGAGCUUCAUGAAAUGCAUGAAUAUGUUUUCAUUAAAGGAUUGACAAAUUGAUUCCUGAUGUCGUCUUACGAGCUUCAUGAAAUGCAUGAAUAUGUUUUCAUUAAAGAACUGGCAAUCUGAUUUCUGAUGUCUUACGAGCUUCAAGAAAUACAUAAACGCAUUUUCAUCGAAGGAUUGACAAAUUGAUUCCUGAUGUCGUCUUACGAGCUUCAUGAAAUGCAUGAAUAUGUUUUCAUUAAAGAACUGGCAAUCUGAUUUCUGAUGUCUUACGAGCUUCAAGAAAUACAUAAACGCAUUUUCAUCGAAGAACUGGCAAUCUGAUUUCUGAUGUCUUACGAGCUUCAAGAAAUACAUAAACGCAUUUUCAUCGAAGGAUUGACAAAUUGAUUCCUGAUGUCGUCUUACGAGCUUCAUGAAAUGCAUGAAUAUGUUUUCAUUAAAGAACUGGCAAUCUGAUUUCUGAUGUCUUACGAGCUUCAAGAAAUACAUAAACGCAUGUUCAUCGAAGAACUGGCAAUCUGAUUUCUGAUGUCGUCUUAUGAGCUUCAUAAAAAUGCAUCAAUAUGUUUUCAUCGAAGAUCUUCUGUGGGUCAUUGGCACCGGGAAGACCAUUCUACGGAUCGUCACAGUCACAGUUGUUACAGCAUUGUGGACCGGUUGUCAGCGAUACACCUGACAAUUCUAAAGACAUCAUCAUCGAAUCAUGUCACCGCUUUUCACUAAUAAUGUCUUACCAUAGCAAAGGACGGUAGAAUAAGGUAGAACGGUUCUAAACAGGCUAAACGUGUGCGACAGUCUUUGAUGGCGAUUAGAUCGUGGGUACAAAGUCUUCUGGUUGGAGCAUAUAAAUUGAUUUUGGAUAGAAGAAAGGGAAAACCAAUACGUUAGUUUAGGACAGGGGUCUCCAAACUUUUCCUGUCGCUGGCCGAAUUGCUUCGCAAAUAGCUAUGUUGAGGGCCAUUUGCUGUUACCUACUUAUGAGCGAAUGUUGAAAUCUCGUUUUUAUACCAAAAUACUAACGAAAGUUGUGCAGCUUUGUUCUAUUCAAUAUCACAAUUGACUAAUCUAGUUUUAUGGUAAAUAUGAAUAAUUACCAAUGAAAAAUAAAUGAAUCAAUAAAUGAAUUAAAUCAACACA